UGAAUGGAUAAACGAAAAUUAACCUGUCUCGAUAAAUCACCCAAAAAUUAACCUUCAAGUGAAGAGACUUGAAUUAAAAUAAAAGACAAGAAGACCCUGUAGAGCCUCAACUUAAUUCUAGACUUAAAAAUAAAAUACACAAAAUAUCUAAUACCGUUUCAAUUGGGGCGAUUAAGGAACAUCCAAACCUUCCUUCAAAAAAGGCCUAUAAGCCUAAACAAUGAUCCAAUUUAUGACCAAAAACCAAGGCUACCUCAGGGAUAACAGACUAAUCUUUCUUAAGAGCCCAUAUUAACAGAAAGGAUUGGCACCUCGAUGUUGGCUUAGGAA
This 330-nucleotide ribosomal RNA is filed under the name Aricidea assimilis. Its description in RNAcentral is "partial large subunit ribosomal RNA". It matches the Rfam family "Bacterial large subunit ribosomal RNA", at positions 1993 to 2543 of the family's 2925-position model. Lineage: Eukaryota; Metazoa; Annelida; Polychaeta; Paraonidae. The record is from RNAcentral.